CUUUCUUUGCUGGCGACCGGCGCACGGGUGAGUAACACGUAUCCAACCUGCCCUUUACUCGGGGAUAGCCUUUCGAAAGAAAGAUUAAUACCCGAUGGCAUAAUGAUUCCGCAUGGUUUCAUUAUUAAAGGAUUCCGGUAAAGGAUGGGGAUGCGUUCCAUUAGGUUGUUGGUGAGGUAACGGCCCACCAAGCCUUCGAUGGAUAGGGGUUCUGAGAGGAAGGUCCCCCACAUUGGAACCGAGACACGGUCCAA
This 254-nucleotide ribosomal RNA is filed under the name uncultured bacterium. RNAcentral's name for it is "partial 16S ribosomal RNA". It matches the Rfam family "Bacterial small subunit ribosomal RNA", at positions 79 to 334 of the family's 1533-position model. The record is from RNAcentral.